Molecule: transfer RNA, 73 nt
Filed under: Cladonia leporina
Lineage: Eukaryota; Fungi; Ascomycota; Lecanoromycetes; Lecanorales; Cladoniaceae
Also listed under: 1 other name
Description: tRNA-Met
Rfam family: tRNA
About the family: Transfer RNA (tRNA) molecules are approximately 80 nucleotides in length. Their secondary structure includes four short double-helical elements and three loops (D, anti-codon, and T loops).
Source: RNAcentral
AGGGCCAUAGCUUAAUGGGUAAAGCAAGCUGCUCAUAACGGUUUAGAUGAGUGUUCAAAUCAUUCUGGCCCUA